This is a long non-coding RNA of Diorhabda carinulata, 362 nucleotides long. RefSeq lists it as uncharacterized. NCBI's taxonomy places the organism in Eukaryota, Metazoa, Arthropoda, Insecta, Coleoptera, Chrysomelidae. The transcript has 3 exons. The record is from RefSeq and is a predicted model, not a curated record.
AUUUGCCCACUAAAUUACCAGUAUUAAUAAUUAUUAGUUUUAAGUGAAAUUAUUCAAAUUUUUUCAUCUUGUUCACAUUUAUAAUUAAAUUAUGAUUCAGAUGGGUUAGAUGAUCUCCUGACUUUGUAAGUGAUGCAACCUAGCAGAGAACGACAGCAGCAGCAGUAGUAAAGAUUCCAAUAGGUGGGGGUCAAUUUGAGUGAAUAGUUUGUCUGAUAUACAGUAGUUUUGAUCAGUACCAGAUUAGUGGUUAUUACAGGUAGGUAGAAUCCCGGCUUUUAUGCUUCAGCUCAUCUAAUCCAAGCUGAUGAGAGCAUAUUGAAAGAAUGGAGAGAGGUAGACAAGUGAAAACAAUAUAUGAA